Molecule: long non-coding RNA, 1015 nt
Organism: Xenopus laevis (African clawed frog)
Lineage: Eukaryota; Metazoa; Chordata; Amphibia; Anura; Pipidae
Exons: 3
Source: RefSeq, a predicted model, not a curated record
UUUCCCUGCAAGUGGUAAUGUUUUGGGUUUACUGCCUUUAGCCACAGAGGUUACUCUGGAGUGCUCCAGUCUGUAAUGUAGACAGCUGGGAGUAUAUUACUGUAGGAUUAAAAACUCUUACUAACACUGCAUGAAUGUUACAGGUUUCAACCUUCCAGCCACAGUUUGACCUUUACCAGAAUAACUUGUGGGCCAUACGGCAAAAGGCACUGAUCACUUCCAGCAAACGAUCCAGAAGUCAGAAGCACAAUACACUUGGACAAUAGCUCCUCUCUAGUUAUUCUGGGGAACUGCCUCUCUACUCAUACAGGGAGACUGCAUCUCUGCUUAUACUGAAGACAGGGCCAAUGCAGUUAAAAGACCACACAGAUAUCAGCGUUAAAAAAGGAUGAGCUGGCACCAGCUAUUAGGACCCUAAAGUGCCUUUCAAGCCUGAUCCAUCCAAGUGAAACGUGCUGAGUGUGCCCAUCAGAAAGAGAAAUCACAGAUGGUCUCAUUCAUUCCCCCAGAGCAACUCUUGAACCCCCAGGACUAUAAACCAUGCACGUGUUAUUGGUUUAUUCUUCUCUGGGUCCAUUAAGUGGAUGCCACUGGUGUGUCAGCUGUAAUUGGAGACUGGGCUAGUGAGAUCCUGUGUCACAGGCUGUGGGUAAUGCCUUAUAGGAAAGUCUGCCCUGAGCCACAUGUUUAACCUAAGCAUUUCCGUGAAUUAUUUACAACCCUGAAGAUCUCCUGUGCAUGAGACAUCUCACCUAAUGGUCCAUGGGAAAUCUAACUGCACAUCUUUCCCUGUUCUUGCUGCUCUAUCUGUCUUGUCUUACACAAUUCUUUCUCUUCAUAGAGUGUCUCAUACUCUCCUAAAUAUUUACCCAGAAACAGAAUCACCAGAGCCAAACCCUUCCCUGGGCUGAACAUCACUCUUGCAACUCACAGACCUAACUAAGAACUAUCCUAUACGCUGCAAUCUUUGCGACUCCUAAGUCUCUGUUAUUAAGUUAAUUUGUGCUGCAUUAAA